UUGGAGGAGAAAAAAAUGUAACAAGGUUUCCGUAGGUGAACCUGCGGAAGGAUCAUUACCUAGAGUUGUAGGCUUUGCCUGCUAUCUCUUACCCAUGUCUUUUGAGUACUUACGUUUCCUCGGCGGGUCCGCCCGCCGAUUGGACAAUUUAAACCAUUUGCAGUUGCAAUCAGCGUCUGAAAACUUUAAUAGUUACAACUUUCAACAACGGAUCUCUUGGUUCUGGCAUCGAUGAAGAACGCAGCGAAAUGCGAUAAGUAGUGUGAAUUGCAGAAUUCAGUGAAUCAUCGAAUCUUUGAACGCACAUUGCGCCCCUUGGUAUUCCAUGGGGCAUGCCUGUUCGAGCGUCAUUUGUACCUUCAAGCUUUGCUUGGUGUUGGGUUUUGUCUCGCCUCUGCGUGUAGACUCGCCUUAAAACAAUUGGCAGCCGGCGUAUUGAUUUCGGAGCGCAGUACAUCUCGCGCUUUGCACUCAUAACGACGAGUCCAAAAGUACAUUUUUACACUCUGACCUCGGAUCAGGUAGAUGUAGC
RNAcentral lists this ribosomal RNA (532 nucleotides) under Leptosphaerulina australis. Its description in RNAcentral is "eukaryotic LSU rRNA". The stretch from base 197 to 350 matches the Rfam family "5.8S ribosomal RNA". Lineage: Eukaryota; Fungi; Ascomycota; Dothideomycetes; Pleosporales; Didymellaceae. The record is from RNAcentral.